CUUUGUUAUCAGUGUAUUUUGAUGUGGAUGCCAAACAUUUCAACUAUCCCUGUCGGGCUAACCAGGAAGAGUUUGGCACGUUGCAGGAUGAACAAUUAAAAAGAGCUGGCAAUUGAUUGUUCUUAGAACUUUGCACUGUCUCAUUUCCAAAUUUUAAAGGAUUUGUUUCAUGACUGUAGCCUUAUUACGACUUGAGGGAGCAUUCAUUUGGAUGCCAGCAAUUAAAUGUGUUUUGUCAAGAAACUUAGGAUGGUUGAGUUUCACUUAUUGAAUAGUGAUGAGCUACAAAUUACUAAAUAUUUGACGAUUGUUGGCGAGAAGUUAAGAUCGAGAUUUGAGCUAAGUUGGGCGCCAAAAGGAGUUAAUAAAGCCAACCAAUUGCUUGUUGGAACCAUGAAGCAUAAAAGAGUUGAAGUCGUCAAGCCAAAGGUUAAGCGUUGUGUUGGGAGUGACGUCCAAAACAUUUGGCAUCGACCUGUUGAAGACAACUGAAGAAUGAAGCAAGCUGGACAAAAAACUCAUGUUCAAGUUAUGAAAUUAAUAGGGGUUGAAAACAUCAAGAAUUCAAAGCUGUUGAGGGGAGACAAAACAUGUUGGACCGGUGUGUCAACCAAUGGAAGUGUAACAGAAGCUGAAGACUGGAGCUGGAGUGAACAAAAAAUUCGGCACUGAAUUUUUAUUAUUUUCGCGAGUUUCCCUUUCUAUUUAGAACUCUAAUCUUUUAAUAUUUCUACCUUAUUUUUGCACGAAUUUUCCUUUUUAAAAUUAGGCUUUAGAGUUUCAUAUA
This 787-nucleotide long non-coding RNA is filed under the name Olea europaea subsp. europaea. Lineage: Eukaryota; Viridiplantae; Streptophyta; Magnoliopsida; Lamiales; Oleaceae. The record is from RNAcentral.